Megalopta genalis is the source of this 1597-nucleotide non-coding RNA. The record is from RefSeq and is a predicted model, not a curated record. Lineage: Eukaryota; Metazoa; Arthropoda; Insecta; Hymenoptera; Halictidae.
AAUUGGUAUAAUAAUUUUAUUUUCUCUAAUUGCUUGCCCGACUCGCGCGAUUAUAAGGGAGGAUAUAUUCUAAACACGUGAUCGUACUUAUUAAUAUGAGCCGCGAUGCAGUGAAACACUUCGGAAUAAAGCCCGAUGAGAAGUCCUUCGAGAGCAUCGAGUCCAGUUAUGUCCUUGCUUUGCUCCGUAGGACUUGGAGUUCGCAAUGUCGGCCUUGGAGUAUUGGGUGUGCCACCACCUCCGUUCCAAGAGAACACUACUCUACUCAAUUCCUCGACCGUGGUUCCCAAUAAUGUGGCUGCUUUCUCCGCGCAUUCUACUCUCGCAAACUGCCAUCGACUUUGAGAACUAGUACCGACUUUGACGGCACCCGCGCAACUCAGGUGAUAUAUACCAGUGAGUACUAGCCAAAUCGCUUUUUCAUCGGUUUCCGAUAUACCAAGAGUCCUAAAGGCGGCCACGAUCCGAUUAAAUUCCACCAUGGCGCGCUGCUUGUCUUCGUGCUUCUGCAGAGGCGUGAUGAACGAAUUAUUUUCCGCGACUAAAUUCGUAAGAUGCAAUUCCCUUCUUAAGACACCCUCGGCGCCUGCCAGCAAGCGGUACAUCGCAUGAAAGGUUGGAUCCCCGUUUGCUCGUUUACCUAUCCUCGACUUCUCUAAUAGUAGCACCUUGUACGCACAGACAAAACCAAUUCAGAUCAACUAUAGGAUAUAAAUAGACUAAAAGGCAGUCGCAUUUGCAAUAAGUUAAAGCAAGCAUAAAUAUAAUCGAUAAUAAUGCGGACAAACGUAUCGUAUUACCUGUAAAGAGGCGGACGCAAUCUGCCCCGAUUGAUCGAAGUCUAAACUAAAUAGUUGAGUGAAUCGUGUUGCAUUCGAAUUCAUGUAUGUUUUGCAAUUCCCAAAUGCUUCUAGGACAGUGAAGACGGCAUUGAGUUUCUCAAUAGUCAGGAUCUUUAAAAAUACAAUAAUUGUUUGAACAUCGUUUGUAAUACAACAUUAGCGUAAACGCAGUUACCAAUGGAUUAUACGUAAAAAUGUUAAGUUCGUAGUUUUGCCCGAUCCGCUACGGCCGAGGAAAACUAAGGAAUGAUCUCUUCGAGUUGCUAACAUCCCUCUGUAAGCUGCUUGCGCCAUUGCAUAAACAUGAGGAGGCACAUCUUCGCUCUUACAUCCUCUGAACAUAAGCGCCACCUUAACAAAGGAAAAUCAUUGGAGAGCCAAUUUUUUUUUCACUCGUGGACACUAUGAAACUGUGAUUCCAAACAGCUUUCGGUUUCCAAGUAACCGAAUAGUGUCAUUUAUACUUUUAGAAGAAUUUUAGUAAUCCACUUUUGGCCAAUGAGACUUUUUACAUAAUGAUAUAAUAAUCAGAUUUAUAACAAAAUUAUUCCGUUUCAAAAGGUAUAUGAACAGUUUGUACACCGACUGUACGAGCAGAAAUUGUCAUAAGAGGAACGAUAACUUGCGUGAAAAAGAACAAAUAGCCAAAAAAUCCUAAUUGUAGGGAUAAUAUGAAAGAAAUGAUAAUGCAAAUAAAACGAAUAUUUGUGUGAUUUGUAAAAAAUAUAUUUCAAAAAAUAAAAUACGAAACCGAA